UACGGAGGGUGCAAGCGUUGUUCGGAUUUACUGGGCGUAAAGGGCGCGUAGGCGGUCUUAUAAGCCAGAUGUGAAAGCCCACGGCUCAACCGUGGAAGUGCAUCUGGAACUGUGAGACUUGAGUAUGGGAGAGGAAAGUGGAAUUCCCGGUGUAGAGGUGAAAUUCGUAGAUAUCGGGAGGAAUACCGGUGGCGAAGGCGACUUUCUGGACCAAUACUGACGCUGAGGCGCGGAAGCGUGGGUAGCAAACAGG
RNAcentral lists this ribosomal RNA (253 nucleotides) under uncultured bacterium. RNAcentral describes it as "partial 16S ribosomal RNA". It matches the Rfam family "Bacterial small subunit ribosomal RNA", at positions 524 to 776 of the family's 1533-position model. The record is from RNAcentral.